Molecule: ribosomal RNA, 468 nt
Filed under: uncultured bacterium
Lineage: Bacteria
Description: partial 16S ribosomal RNA
Rfam family: Bacterial small subunit ribosomal RNA
Source: RNAcentral
GAUGAACGCUGGCGGCGUGCUUAAUACAUGCAAGUCGAACGGAAAGGCCCUGCGUUUGUUGGGUGCUCGAGUGGCGAACGGGUGAGUAACACGUGAGUAACCUGCCCUUGACAGUGUGAUAUCUCUAGGGAACUGGGUCGCAUACCGGAGAGAAUCUUCUGCUGCGUGGGGGUGGUUGGAGAGUGCGGGCGGUGGUGUAUGUACUCGCUGGUUAUCAGCUGGUUGGUGGGGUAGGGGCUUUCCAAGGCUUCGACGGGUAGCCGGCCUGAGAGGGUGACCGGCGACAAUGGGACUGAGAUAGGGCGCAGACUCGUACGGGAGGCAGCAGUGGGGAGUAUUGCGGAAUGGGCGGAAGCCUGAUGCAGCAACCCCGCGUGCGGGAUAACGGCCUUCGGGUUGUAAACAGAUUUCGAAUGUGCCGAAGCGUGAGUGGCGGUAAUGAGUAAAGAAGCACCGGCUAACUACGUG